GUGCCAGCAGCCGCGGUAAGACGAACCGUGCGAACGUUAUUCGGAAUCACUGGGCUUAAAGCGCGUGUAGGCGGGGCGGCACGUCUGUCGCUGAAAUCCCCCGGCUUAACCGGGGAACUGGCGGAGAUACGACCGCCCUGGAGGGGCGUAGGGGGACCUGGAACUUCCGGUGGAGCGGUGAAAUGCGUUGAGAUCGGAAGGAACGCCCGUGGCGAAAGCGAGGUCCUGGACGCCUACUGACGCUGAGACGCGAAAGCCAGGGGAGCGAACGGGAUUAGAUACCCCGGUAGUCC
This 293-nucleotide ribosomal RNA is filed under the name uncultured bacterium. RNAcentral's name for it is "partial 16S ribosomal RNA". It matches the Rfam family "Bacterial small subunit ribosomal RNA", at positions 505 to 796 of the family's 1533-position model. The record is from RNAcentral.